This is an RNA transcript of Triticum aestivum (bread wheat), 1449 nucleotides long. RefSeq lists it as uncharacterized. The transcript is spliced from 3 exons. The record is from RefSeq and is a predicted model, not a curated record. Lineage: Eukaryota; Viridiplantae; Streptophyta; Magnoliopsida; Poales; Poaceae.
GAAGAGAUAGAACCGGUCGGUCAGUUGGGGAUCAGGACGUAAAAAGCGCUCUCCGCCGCUCCGCCGCCCAAGUCCCCUCUGUAUUGCUGCAGCCUCCGCCUGGCUGGAUCCUCAGUCCGCCGCCGCCUCGAUCCGGAAGCAAUCUCUCGUUUUCUUUCUUCUGUGUCGCUAUCGAAGAUCGGUUAACAUCAAUUGAUACUCUUAUCAAGAUACUGAGCAAUAUCUUGGGUCAUGCCAUGCGUCUCAUGCCCGCUCCCGCUUGCAAAGACGGAGGUAAUCUUGACGACCACCAUCCGAACGGCCGACGUGCCAAAGUCCAAACGUGGUUGCACAGAUGGUUACAUUGACUACUAUGAACCCAAGGAGCACCUCGCAGCCUCGCUCACCAGCGCCCGACCUAGAAACAGAAGCGGUGGCGCCCAGGAAGCCACACGACGGCGGCGCCCAGGUAGCCAGCUAUUGAAGAUCGGUUAACAUCAAUUGAUACUCUUGUCAAGAUACUGAGCAAUAUCUUGGGUCAUGUGUCUCAUGCCCGCUCCCGCUUGCAAAGACGGAGCUAAUCUUGAUAACCACCAUCUGAACGGCCGGCGUGCCAAGUCCAAACGUGGUUGCGCAGAUGGUUACAUUGACUACUUUGAACCCAAGGAGCACCUAUUAAUUUGCUCAUGUGCCUUCGGCUAUAUAUUUGCAAUGUGUGUUUUCUGCUUUACUGUGUUGUACACUCCAGUCGCGUCUGGCACAGCUAACUUGACCCGGGGACCCGGCGACAUCUUCGUCCGACUUAUAGGAAAAAGUGGGCUUGAUCCUGGCACCUCUCCACCUACUUCACUGGCUUUCCGCCUUGCCAUGGACUUUGAUCGGACACCACCAACCUACCGGCGCUGCAGCGGAGGAGGCAACUCGUUGCUGCGCGUCUCCUACCAUGACAUGAUCCUGGCGUGGGCUCAAGUGCCGUAUUUUUGCGUCUAUGGCGACCGGAGCAUUGGCCAUGUAGGCACCUUGGAGGUGGAGGCCAAGGCAGACGCCUCCGUGUUGCGAGAGGAGGUGCGCAACUUGCUUUGGAGCGAGAUUCAGGUCGUGGGUAAGGUCGAGUUCGACGUUGAUGGAGAGGUGGCGGGCCUAGGGUACCUUCGCUGCAAGUUCUUCAUCCUGAAAGAUAAGGCUGCGGAUGUGCCCAAGAGCCUGUGCAUCCUACUCCCUCCGUCCGAAAAUACUUGUCAUCAAAAUGGAUAAAAAGGGAUGCAUCUAGAACUAAAAUACAUUUAGAUACAUCUCCUUUUAUUCAUUUUGAUGACAAGUAUUUCCGGACGGAGGGAGUACAUCAAUAGGCUCGACCUAUGUCUUCUAAUAAAGGGUGUUAUAUAUUCUCCGUUCUGUCACUGGACUAAAUUUACUUUUGUAAUAGCUGCUAUAUUCUGCUUUGAAAUAAAACUUAUUUUCUUCGGAAAA